This is a long non-coding RNA of Talpa occidentalis (Iberian mole), 354 nucleotides long. RefSeq lists it as uncharacterized. NCBI's taxonomy places the organism in Eukaryota, Metazoa, Chordata, Mammalia, Eulipotyphla, Talpidae. The transcript has 3 exons. The record is from RefSeq and is a predicted model, not a curated record.
GAAAACAGCAUAACUCUAUUUUAUAAAUAAGCAAGGUUGACAUGGUCCAACUCUUCGGAGAAAUGGAGUGAUUUCUAGGACUGGGCCAGAAAAUAUACAAGAUGAGCCUGGAACAUCUCACAGCAUCAGAAAAACUCUAGGAUGGAACAAAAGUAUACAAUAAGCUUGCAACUGGAGGAACAAAAGACAUGUCGAAAAAAUGCCUCACCUUUCGCUUCAAUGUGGGCUUUGUAAGAAUUGGUGGUGAGUUGGACCGAGGACUUUCCGGCUCUUCCUCCUCCUCACUACUCUCACUGAAGCUCCUGAGGAGAGCCCUGUCACCAUCGCUGUAGCGACGGGGCAGUCUAUCAUUGC